This 311-nucleotide unclassified non-coding RNA is filed under the name Hevea brasiliensis (rubber tree). Lineage: Eukaryota; Viridiplantae; Streptophyta; Magnoliopsida; Malpighiales; Euphorbiaceae. The record is from RNAcentral.
GCAACAUGGUUGUGGAAGCGGGAGGCAAAAAUGGGGUUGUUCCUGCAGAUGAAACUACAUUUAAGUACCUUGAGGGUAAGACUCCUAUGACACAUGAACCUGUAUACAGUGAUCAAAAUGCCAGUUUUAUCCACGAUUACAAAAUUGAUGUCUCUAAGUUGGAGCCAUUAGUCGCAAAGCCCCAUUCUCCUGAUAAUCGUGCUUUGGCAAGAGAAUGCAAAGAUGUAAAGAUUGACAGGGUAUAUAUAGGCUCCUGUACCGGUGGGAAGACGGAGGAUUUUAUGGCUGCUGCAAAGGUUUUUCAAGCUUCG